UACGGAGGGGACUAGCGUUGUUCGGAAUUACUGGGCGUAAAGCGCACGUAGGCGGACAUUUAAGUCAGGGGUGAAAUCCCAGAGCUCAACUCUGGAACUGCCUUUGAUACUGGGUGUCUUGAGUGUGAGAGAGGUAUGUGGAACUCCGAGUGUAGAGGUGAAAUUCGUAGAUAUUCGGAAGAACACCAGUGGCGAAGGCGACAUACUGGCUCAUUACUGACGCUGAGGCUCGAAAGCGUGGGGAGCAAACAGG
This 253-nucleotide ribosomal RNA is filed under the name uncultured bacterium. RNAcentral's name for it is "partial 16S ribosomal RNA". It matches the Rfam family "Bacterial small subunit ribosomal RNA", at positions 524 to 776 of the family's 1533-position model. The record is from RNAcentral.